RNAcentral lists this ribosomal RNA (447 nucleotides) under Chersinellina heteropunctata. Its description in RNAcentral is "eukaryotic LSU rRNA". Lineage: Eukaryota; Metazoa; Arthropoda; Insecta; Coleoptera; Chrysomelidae. The record is from RNAcentral.
CUGAGAAMCCGAARGUCGAAUGGGGAAAUUCAUUCGCGUUUCGAUUGUCGGCGAUGAGCGGUUGUGUGACUGACGGGGUACGCUUCGUUAGCACCUUCAGUUUUUCGAACCGACUUCGAACGCGUGCACUUUUCCCCUAGUAGGACGUCGCGAUCCGUUGGGUGUCGAUCUAAGGCCUGUGGUGGAGCUCGCGUGGACGUUUCGGCGUUCCGCACGAACCCACAGUGUCCCGAUCGACUCGCUCGACGGUAUAAAGAUGGMGCGGGGCCGCUACACAGUUAGCGUUCGGCCUACGGMAAGCACGUACGGUGUUUGAUGGCGAUCAGACCUAGUCGGAUCCCGUCCCCGGACGACUGUUGGCACGUAGUGUUCUCGAACAGACCUCGUUGAAACGCCGAUCUGCGACGCUACAGCUUUGGGUACUUUCAGGACCCGUCUUGAAACACG